GGAGUCUCGCUCUGUCACCCAGGCUGGAGUGCAGUGGCGCGAUCUCGGCUCACUGCAAGCUGUGCCUCCCAGGUUCACGCCAUUCUCCUGCCUCAGCCUCCCGAGUAGCUGGGACUACAGGCACCUGCCACCACGCCUGGCUAAUUUUUUGUAUUUUUAGUAAGAGAUGGGGUUUCACCAUAUUAGCCUGGAUGGUUUCGAUCUCCUGACCUGAUCUGCCCACCACAGCCUCCCAAAGUGCUGGGAUUACAGGCGUGAGCCAUGGCACCCAGUUUUCGUUUUUUUUUGAGACAGGGACUCACUCUGUCAUCCAGGCUGGAGUGCACUUGGCACCAUUAUGGCUCAUUACAGCCUCAAACUCCCUGGUUCAAGCAGUCUUUCUGCCCCAGCCUCCUGCGCAGCUGGGACUACAGGCAUGUACCACCACACCCAGAUCACUGAGUUGGUUAGUGAUACGAUGUCAUCUUAGCAGGUUAGUUCUUCUGCCCUUUUUGUAGAACAUAAUCCAUGGGUAGGUUUUCUGGCCUUAGAAAAUAUAUCUACUCCAUAUAAAGAAAAAAAAAACAAAUAGGCAAUGUAUCUACUGCAAGCCUGGGCACACUGGCUCAUGCCUGUAAUCUCAGCACGUUGGGAGGCCGAGGCAGGCAGAUCACUUGAGAUCAGGAGUUUGAGACCAGCCUGGCCAACAUGCUAAAAUCUCAUUUCUACUAAAAAUGCAAAACAAUUAGCUGGGCCGGGUGCAGUGGCUCACACCUGUAAUCCCAGCGCUUUGGGAGGCCAAGCCAGGCGGAUCAGCUGAGGUCAGGAGUUCAAGACCAGUUCAGCCAACAUGGUGAAACCCUGUCUCUACUAAAACUACAAAAAUUAGCCAGGCGUGGUGGUGCAUGCCUGUAAUCCCAGCUACUUGGGAGGCUGAGGCAGGAGAAUUGCUUGAACCUGGGAGGCAGAGGUUGCAGUGAGCCAAGAUUGUGCCACUGCAUUCCAGCCUGGGCAACGAGUGAGACUCUGUCUCAAAAAAGAAAAAAUUAGCCGUACAUGGUGGUAUGCACCUGUAAUCCCAGCUACUCAGGAGGUUGAGGCAGGAGAAUCCCUUGAACUUGAGAUGUGGAGGUUGCAGUGAGCUGAGAUGGCACCAUUGCACUUCAGCCUGGGAAACACAGUGAGACUCCAUCUCAAAAAAGCAAACAACAGGAAAAAAAAAAAAAAAAAGAAAGACUGUGACUGUUGUAGAUGUAAAAAGAUCUUUGUGCCCCCAACUUCAGAAAGCUGCUCAGAAGGACAUACUCUCUAAUGCCCUCUUCAGAGACAUGGCCGACAUUGAUAAUGAAAAAGGUAGAACCUCCCCACAGGCAGAGUGAAGAAUCUGGAUGAAGUACCUCCAGAAAACAACACAAGAACCUCAUCAAUGUCACUAUCCCCUAGUAAGGGGAAUCUCCUAUCAUUUGCCAAGUAAUACUUAAGAUUUUGGCUGGGUGUGCUGGCUUACACCUGUAAUUCCAGCACCACAGGAGGCUGAGGUGGGUAGAUGGCUUUAACCCAGGAGUUCAAGACCGGCCAGGGCAACAAAGUGAGACCCUGUCUCUACCACAAAAAAUAAAAAAAAUAAAAAAAAAAAAAG
Molecule: long non-coding RNA, 1618 nt
Filed under: Macaca fascicularis (crab-eating macaque)
Lineage: Eukaryota; Metazoa; Chordata; Mammalia; Primates; Cercopithecidae
Description: lncRNA (ENSMFAG00000058558.1)
Source: RNAcentral